AACGAACGCUGGCGGCAGGCUUAACACAUGCAAGUCGAACGCAUCCUUCGGGGUGAGUGGCAGACGGGCGAGUAACGCGUGGGAACGUGCCCUUCAGUUCGGGAUAACCCAGGGAAACUUGGGCUAAUACCGGAUACGUGCGAGAGCAGAAAGAUUUAUCGCUGGAGGAUCGGCCCGCGUCUGAUUAGCUAGUUGGUGGGGUAAUGGCCCACCAAGGCGACGAUCAGUAGCUGGUCUGAGAGGAUGAUCAGCCACAUUGGGACUGAGACACGGCCCAAACUCCUACGGGAGGCAGCAGUGGGGAAUAUUGGACAAUGGGCGCAAGCCUGAUCCAGCCAUGCCGCGUGAGUGAUGAAGGCCUUAGGGUUGUAAAGCUCUUUCGUCCGGGACGAUAAUGACGGUACCGGAAGAAGAAGCCCCGGCUAACUUCGUGCCAGCCGCCGCAGUAA
RNAcentral lists this ribosomal RNA (449 nucleotides) under uncultured bacterium. RNAcentral describes it as "partial 16S ribosomal RNA". It matches the Rfam family "Bacterial small subunit ribosomal RNA", at positions 29 to 523 of the family's 1533-position model. The record is from RNAcentral.